UAAAACAAAGCUUUUUUAGUUAAGCGUUUCACUUACGUUGAAAAGAAUUAUCGUGCAACUCGAUUUGUUUUAA
This 73-nucleotide transfer RNA is filed under the name Thenus orientalis. RNAcentral describes it as "tRNA-Val". Lineage: Eukaryota; Metazoa; Arthropoda; Malacostraca; Decapoda; Scyllaridae. The record is from RNAcentral.